This 421-nucleotide unclassified non-coding RNA is filed under the name Zea mays. Its description in RNAcentral is "misc RNA Zm00001eb164510". Lineage: Eukaryota; Viridiplantae; Streptophyta; Magnoliopsida; Poales; Poaceae. The record is from RNAcentral.
CCCCUCGUCCAUCAGGUUUCCGAACCGGACGAUGCUGUUGACGAUGAGCACCUCGUCGGGGUCGAUGCUGAGGUCGUCGGCACCGACCGCGUCCCACCUCGCCGUGAUGCCGCGGAACUUGAACGGCACGCCGAUCUGGCGAGCGUAGUCGCUGAGCCGCCGCCCGGUCUCGUCGAUCCGCGCGGCUGGGCGGAAGCCGGGCUGGGGGAGAUCGAUGCCGGUGAUCCUCACCUCUGGCGGCCCGCCCUCCAUGUCCAUGGUCGCCACACGGCCGAGCAAGCUUGGCCACUGAACCCCGUAGUCUAUGCCGUAGUCCACGAUGUGAACCUUUCUCCUCCCGGCGAUGGCCUUCAAGAUGGUCUUGUUGGAGAAACUGAACGCCGUCAUCUUGAAGCAGCACGCUGCCAGGUACAGCCAGUAG